UACGUAGGGUGCAAGCGUUAAUCGGAAUUACUGGGCGUAAAGCGUGCGCAGGCGGUUGUGCAAGACAGAGGUGGAAUCCCCGGGCUUAACCUGGGAAUGGCCUUUGUGACUGCACGGCUAGAGUGUGUCAGAGGGGGGUAGAAUUCCACGUGUAGCAGUGAAAUGCGUAGAGAUGUGGAGGAAUACCGAUGGCGAAAGGCAGCCCCCUGGGAUAACACUGACGCUCAUGCACGAAAGCGUGGGGAGCAAACAAGA
This 255-nucleotide ribosomal RNA is filed under the name uncultured bacterium. Its description in RNAcentral is "partial 16S ribosomal RNA". It matches the Rfam family "Bacterial small subunit ribosomal RNA", at positions 524 to 777 of the family's 1533-position model. The record is from RNAcentral.